Molecule: non-coding RNA, 95 nt
Organism: Paramuricea clavata
Lineage: Eukaryota; Metazoa; Cnidaria; Anthozoa; Malacalcyonacea; Plexauridae
Source: the annotation of a GenBank genome assembly
GCCUCUGUAGCUCAGUUGAUUAGAGCUCGACAACUGUCCUCUGUAGCUCAGUUGAUUAGAGCGCUGCAUCGCAGGUUCGAUUCCUGCCAGGGACC